Molecule: ribosomal RNA, 322 nt
Filed under: Salmonella enterica subsp. enterica serovar Infantis
Lineage: Bacteria; Pseudomonadati; Pseudomonadota; Gammaproteobacteria; Enterobacterales; Enterobacteriaceae
Description: bacterial LSU rRNA
Rfam family: Bacterial large subunit ribosomal RNA
Source: RNAcentral
UGAGCUCGAUGAGUAGGGCGGGACACGUGGUAUCCUGUCUGAAUAUGGGGGGACCAUCCUCCAAGGCUAAAUACUCCUGACUGACCGAUAGUGAACCAGUACCGUGAGGGAAAGGCGAAAAAGAACCCCGGCGAGGGGAGUGAAAAAAGAACCUGAAACCGUGUACGUACAAGCAGUGGGAGCACAGGUUUACCUGUGUGAUGCGUACCUUUUGUAUAAUGGGUCAGCGACUUAUAUUCUGUAGCAAGGUUAACCGAAUAGGGGAGCCGGAGGGAAACCGAGUCUUAAUUGGGCGUUAAGUUGCAGGGUAUAGACCCGAAAC